RNAcentral lists this ribosomal RNA (253 nucleotides) under uncultured bacterium. RNAcentral describes it as "partial 16S ribosomal RNA". It matches the Rfam family "Bacterial small subunit ribosomal RNA", at positions 524 to 776 of the family's 1533-position model. The record is from RNAcentral.
UACGAAGGUGGCAAGCGUUACUCGGAAUUACUAGGCGUAAAGGGCAGGUAGGUGGUUUGGUAAGUCUAUUGUGUAAGCUCCCGGCUUAACUGGGAGAGGUCAACAGAAGCUACCAGACUUGAGUAUAGGAGAGGGUACUGGAAUUCCCGGUGUAGCGGUGAAAUGCGCAGAGAUCGGGAGGAACACCAAUGGCGAAAGCAGGUACCUGGACUAUUACUGACACUCAGCUGCGAAAGCUAGGGGAGCAAACAGG